UACUCAAGGCAGAAAAAUGUGUUUGGUUAAAAUACUAGUAAAUGGAAUUUCCAGGAGGGGCUCUACUUUUGGUGUAUUUUUCAUCAGCAUUUUGUAGCUAAUGCCUAAGUGCUGUGCUACUGAGUUGUUCUGCUAGAACAUGUCCUAGCCCAUAUUCCUCUCUGCUCCAUAAAGGAAGGGAAACUCCACAGGUCAUAGGCCAGUAACCUAUUGAUUCAUGAUAUCAGACAGAUGCUAUAGAACAGGCAUUUUGCAAAAUCCUGCUGCCUUAGUCUAGCUGUUCAGCUCUCUGUUUCUUGUUGUGGAAAGUUUUCUCAUAUCUCAUGGGCCAGAUGAUCUGAUUUUUAUGUUAAUUUUCAGUUUCUUUUGAAGUAAAAGGUUUUCUGAAGUGGAAUUUUUCUGAGGAAAUACGUUAAUGUUCUGUGUCUCUGUAACCUCUUGCGGUGAGAUGGUAGGUAUAGACAGGACAGACUGACAAGGCCAUUUUUGUGGGGGCAAAGCACAGAGUCAAGCUUGCUUUCAAACAAGGGAUUGCUGGAUCCUUGUUUGCUCUCCUGCUGUUAGCUCUCUCUUAUUUAUAAGUCUGUGCUUAGUCCUCAUAUUUUGGGAGAGAAUUGUGAAAAAGGUGAUUCAUUCCUCAUGAUGCCUGACACCCACUGACUCUCUGGAGCCUGGAUAGUUUGUAUACCCUUUACAAACUUGGGUGACUGCAUUAGUUUUGUGGCUUCCUGUGGUCAGCAUUUGAUCCUUCUGGGUCAUCUCUGAUUCCCUUGACUGUAGAAAUACUGACAUGCUCAGGCAUUGUGGCAGGGACACAUAUGUUCUCUAAUGGCCUUGGCAAAAGACACUAGUAAACUUGGCUUAGUAAACAUGUCUCUCAUGCUCCUCAUCUCAAAGUGAAUUGAGAAUUGUCAGUUUUUCUGUCAGCUUCUCCUCAGUGCUAGAGCCAUUUCAAGGUAAUAGUGAGACCACUCAGGCCAUGCCAUCUGCAAGGUGUUGAAUUUCUUGUUUGGGUUUGUUUAGUCAGCUAUGCAUUAUCCUACUUGCAGGACAUAGGGCUGGACACAGAUGAGGUCACCACUGAGCUGUCAGGAAUGAAUUUAGGUUAGGAAUUUGGAGAAAACAGCAGUCUAUGCUUGUGCCACCUGAAGGAUUUCACACAAACUCUGUGUUCUUCACACUGCUUGUGCCUCAGGAUUAGCAUGAGCUUCAAGAGUCAAUGGGCAGAGUGUUUUCUUCAGGAAACAACUAUUUGUGCUGUGGAAUUUUUGCUGGCUUCUGGAUUUCCAGAUGAAAUGUGAUGCAUGAUGUCCUAAAUGGGUUGAUUCCUGGUUACCUGGAGAAGAGGAACUGAUACUGCUGGCUACAAGACUGUCUGAGGUAUCUGGGCUAAUAAAUCACAAGGCAGGUGCCAGAAAAGGAUCUAGGGCUUUCCUUGGAAAUUAAUUUCUGAUGAAAUGUUUUUCCCCUAUCAGGCUGGUACCCUAAUGGAUUGACUUUCAUAUUUUGUGCCUAUACUUGUUUUCCUGAGUCCUUAAAAGUGCAAAUGCCUGUGUGUAUGCAUUUGUCCAAAGUUUCCUAAUGCUCUGAACACUGGGGACUUGGACAUACUGCCUUCUGUGGAAAGCUGGUUCUUGUAAUAAGUUCAAAAAUUGUAUUCUGUAACUACUUAACAUUCUCCAAUAUUUAAUAGGAGGAUCCUGUUACACUCCACAGGCUGUGAGCUUAGAAAACUGAGAACUGAAUAGAGACCAGGAAUUGUCCCAGUACUGACCUUCUGACUACCCAUUUCUUGCUCACUGCCCCAAAUUACUUCUUUUCUAUAGUAGAACAAUGUGAUGAUCUUACUUUCUCUCUAUGUUUCUGUAAGGGCAAAAAAUUUACCAGGAUAUUUUAAAUUAGCUCUUAAUAAAGCCUUUCUGAUUUAUUGCAGACUCUUCUGGAAAGUUAAGCCUCACAUAAAAUCCUGUAGCAGUGAUUUGGAAAUUUAAUUAUGUUUUUGCUUCACAGGUUAUGAAAAAAAAUUUCAUUGUGAGGGAGGAGAAGAAAGCUGAACUUUUGAAUCAGUCUCUUGCACUGAGGAAGGCCAGCUAGAGCUAGGUUCAUGAAUAAAACUUGUUUUUAUGGAACAACGUUUCUAAGCAAAGGAAAAGACAAACCAUAACUGAGAUCUAGCAUUCAAGGAAACUCUUGAGGCCAACAUCAGCAAAACAUUUGGUUUAUUACCACAGCCUGGGAACAGUUAUACUGAUGUAAAAUAACUGAGCCAAAGGAAUAUUACCAUUUAUUACCUCUGUUAUGACUGCUAAGUGUUAGUGCGCACAAUUGUCCAUUCUGGGUGGUGAUGAGGAUGCACGGGCAGGACAUUACCACCAUCUCUAGUCAAACCCAUGAAAAUCCCUCACCACAGAGUAUUCACGUGGAGGAGUUGCUGAUGCUGCUUUCAGAAGGAAGAAUGAGUGUCAGGGCCUUGAUGUGUCCCUUUAAGAGCAGAUCUUUACCCUUUUCACCCCUUCUAUGCCAUUCAGCUAGUGCCUUUUAAAUGCUUUAUUCUAGCCUUAUAUAUUUACCUACAGCCACACAUCAAAAUCAAUACCUUCUCUUUAGAAUUCAUUUGAUACAUUACAGUACUGGAGAGAAUUUCCAGUGGGAACACUGGGAAAUUGGAGAUUACUUAUCAAGUAAAUAUAUGAGGUCUGGUGCCAGAAGGCUGUUCUGGUUUCGUAAGUACAAUUUAAUAAUUUUUUGGUUUUGUGUAUGUCAAAAUCAUAACUGAAUGUUUCUUGCUUGUGAUUCUAAAGAAAUUUGACUGAGAUGCUUUUUUCUUUCUUUUCUCUCAGCAGCAGCUUCUAGAGUCUUUCCAUUCUGGUUGUGGAAAAACCUGGUGUAAUGAAGCUGCACAAGACCAAAUGCAUCCCCUGUCUUGGUCCCCUGGGUCAUCAGAGCUCUUCUUUGCUUUGUUCCUCCCGAUGCUUAAUCCAACCUGCUGUGCGAAGGAGGCUGCUCUAAUUGUGUUUGCUCACUACACAAAUUUUUGUGGACAAUGAGGGAAAAAAAAAGGACUCAAGCAAGAGGAACUUGGCCAUGCUACAGAGGUGUGAUAACUAUCUGGUAGUAGUUGAAAUACUUGAAGAGAGAAGCUGUGGAGCCAGGAAAACUCCAUGGAGGUAUUCAAACUAACUGCAGAGUAGCAGGUGUAAAUUAGCCUCUAUGAAUCUUUCUGCUGCAUAUGCUUCAGGGAUUUCAGGAUCUGGGCUGGCUCUUUUUAUACUCCAUGCUAUGAUGACAUUGGAAGCCCACCAGUUUUCAAUCUCCACAUUGCUGCUUUGUGAAUAAAUUGCGAGAAGAGAUGUUUCCUUUUGAGCCCCUUGUUUUGUACUAGCAAGAGAAGGCAGCUUCCUUUAUUGCUCAACAAAGAACAGCUCUGCAAUGAAAUGUGUGUCUUGACAAAUGAAAAAUAUGCCCUAGCAAGGAAUUGCUCCAAUCAGAUGGGGGUAGGGAAGACAUUCCCAUCGCCACAUGGACCUAGGGGCAUCAAGGCAGCUGGAGUCAACAGCUACAUUAGGCAAGAUGUUUGUAAGGGCAACAUCUCCAGGAUGAACAUAGGAAGAAAGCUUGGACUGUGCAAAUCAUUUUGUCCAACAGAUGAAGCUCUAAAAUGUUAUUGGAGCAUCUGAAAAAGGAAGAUAGUUUCUAAAAUCAGGAGAGAUAAAAGUGUUUUUCCAACCCACAGCAAAGCAAAAGAUUUUUCUGACCCACACUUGUCUUCCUGAAGUAGCCAGUAUGAAACCUUGUGCACAUGGCUUCUAAAAGCCUUGGAAUCUCAGUGCCUGCUAGUUUGUGGAGAUGAAACAGUGUUAAUUGGGUAGCCUUUAAGAAUCUGGCAUGGUGUCAAAGAUGAUCUUCAGUGUGUUCUGAGGGAAAUUUGGGUUUGCUGAGAUCUAAUCUCUUUUGCUCAAUAGUCCAGUGAUGUCAUUUAAGAGAUGAGAGGAAAUGAAGAGUGUUUGGUCUUUGUGCUGAUUUUGUUGGGGUAGAGUUAAUUGUCUUCACAAUAGGUAGUGUGGGUCUGUGUUUUGGAUUUGUUCUGGAAACAGCUCUGAAAAUUCAGGGAUGCUUCAGUUAUCAUUGAGCUCUUCUUACACAGAGUCAAGGCCUUUCCUGCUUCUCACACCACUCCACCAGCGAGGAGGCUGGGGGUGCACAAGGAUUUGGGAAGGCACACAGCCAGGACUGACCAAAGGGAUAUUCCAGACCAUACAGCACUGUGCUCAACACAUGAAGCUGGGGGAAGAAGAAGGAAGGGCUGGAUGACAUUCGCCUUCCCAAGUCACCGUUAUACAAGACUGAGCCCUCCUUUCCUGGGGAAGGCUGGACACCUGCCCAUGGGAGGUGAAGUAAUCACUUGUAUUGUUUUGUUUGCAUGCACAUGGCUUUCACUUUCCCUAUUAAACUGUCUUUAUCUCAACCCACUUUUACCCUUCUGAUGCUCUCCCCCAUCCCAUUGUGGGGGAUUGAGUGAGUGGCUCUAUCUGUCUGAGUUGCCAGCUGGUGUGGAACCAUGACAGUCUUAGAUCCAAAAAGAUAUUUAAUCUAAGAAUUGGGAGGACAAGCCACAGGAUCCACAAAAAUUAUGUAUGAGUUUUAUAUAGUCAAAUUUUCAGAAGAAUAUAAUUUUACAUCUUGACAGUUUGAGAUUUUUAAUCUCCUCCAAAAAUCCUUGCUUCAGUAUUGUAUCUAUUUGUACUUUUUGAAUGGUCCCUGUUGAUAUUUCAUGUCGGUAGAAAACUGGUCUUUAGAGAAAACAGAAGCAUCUGGAUAUGAAACACUAUUAAAUAUACAGUUCCACAGAA
Cyanistes caeruleus (blue tit) is the source of this 4850-nucleotide long non-coding RNA. RefSeq lists it as uncharacterized. The record is from RefSeq and is a predicted model, not a curated record. Lineage: Eukaryota; Metazoa; Chordata; Aves; Passeriformes; Paridae.